AGUGAACGCUGGCGGUAGGCCUAACACAUGCAAGUCGAACGGCAGCACAGUAAGAGCUUGCUCUUACGGGUGGCGAGUGGCGGACGGGUGAGGAAUACAUCGGAAUCUACUUUUUCGUGGGGGAUAACGUAGGGAAACUUACGCUAAUACCGCAUACGACCUACGGGUGGAAGCAGGGGAUCUUCGGACCUUGCGCGAUUGAAUGAGCCGAUGUCGGAUUAGCUAGUUGGCGGGGUAAAGGCCCACCAAGGCGACGAUCCGUAGCUGGUCUGAGAGGAUGAUCAGCCACACUGGAACUGAGACACGGUCCAGACUCCUACGGGAGGCAGCAGUGGGGAAUAUUGGACAAUGGGCGCAAGCCUGAUCCAGCCAUACCGUGUGGGUGAAGAAGGCCUUCGGGUUGUAAAGCCCUUUUGUUGGGAAAGAAAAGCAGCAGGUUAAUACCCCGCUGUUCUGACGGUACCCAAAGAAUAAGCACCGGCUAACUUCGUG
RNAcentral lists this ribosomal RNA (492 nucleotides) under uncultured bacterium. RNAcentral's name for it is "partial 16S ribosomal RNA". It matches the Rfam family "Bacterial small subunit ribosomal RNA", at positions 29 to 507 of the family's 1533-position model. The record is from RNAcentral.